GUCUCAGUAGCGUAGUGGUUAACGCAUGGCCCCAGUUAGAAGCGAGACGCGGGUUCGAAUCCCAUUUGAGAUG
RNAcentral lists this transfer RNA (73 nucleotides) under Nippostrongylus brasiliensis. It matches the Rfam family "tRNA". From Rfam's summary of the family: Transfer RNA (tRNA) molecules are approximately 80 nucleotides in length. Their secondary structure includes four short double-helical elements and three loops (D, anti-codon, and T loops). The record is from Rfam by way of RNAcentral. Lineage: Eukaryota; Metazoa; Nematoda; Chromadorea; Rhabditida; Heligmosomidae.